CUCACGGCCAGCCUUUACGAGCAAGUAUCUUGAUGUAGCAAAGAAGCUUGCUGCACAUUUGCAAACUAUAGGGGUUCUAGCGUAAAUCUCCUCAGUGAUAUCAAAGCCCUUGUACACCCACGGUCAGCCAUUCGACAUCAAAGGGAUGGGGGCGGAGAACGAGAGAAAGGAAAUAUAUAAAGGUAUAUAAGACUGGUUAGACAUACUUUCCGCUUAAUGGCAGAUUAACGGAGAACAGCAACCCAACAGACAAAUGUUAGAAGGGUUGAAUAAUAAUAACAAUGAUCAGGCAAGAGCGGGCGGUCCAAAAAAUCAAUGUCGCUACAGCAACAACGACAAGACAUGAAACACUGAGGCAAAAUAUUUCUAAGGAAGCCAGUGACGUAGUGGGACCAGACCGUGGGAUGUUAUCUACCUAAUGUCCCUCAGAUAUUAAGAAUCAAGACUCUGACCUACUAUCUUUUCAAGGAGAGGAGAAAUUGGAGUGUUUUUUUCGAGCGCAUGAAGCGAUAUGCAGCAUACAGCCCAAGUGAUGGUUCAUAGCAUGGCCAUUAUUGGGCUCAUCCCCAUUACAAGAUCUGGAGCCAUGGGGCGUUUAGUUAUUAGUUGAAUUGCGAAAGCGGAACAUACAUAAAUAAGCUUAGGAUGGGUGCAUCCGAUGUCGG
Molecule: small RNA, 665 nt
Filed under: Cryptococcus neoformans H99
Lineage: Eukaryota; Fungi; Basidiomycota; Tremellomycetes; Tremellales; Cryptococcaceae
Description: Cryptococcus neoformans var. grubii H99 hypothetical RNA
Source: RNAcentral